AGAAGUGUUUAAUGAAGAUGAAAUGCAUGGGUAUUAGUUUAAAUGGUUGAUUUGGGCAUGAAAAUGGAUGAAAAAUGAAGAAAAUGGAGGUGAAAAUGGAUGGGUAGCUCACGGUUUUGAGGGAAGGAGAGAACAUGUGCAGAAAGCUCACGAGAGAGGAAGAAGAUGAAUAGCACAAAAGCUCACGAAUCCGGCUUGCCGAAUUUCAUUACCGGCUAGCCGGUUAUAGGGCAGUAACUUGAAAAACCGAAAACGGUCUGCCGGAUUUGAGAUCCGGUUGACCGGAUAUGAACCCGAGAACAACAAGCAAGAAUUCGGCUUGCCGGUUUUGAUAACCGGUAGACCGGUUGUGAGGCAGUGAGUUCCCUUUCAAAUUCAGUUUUUCGGAUUGAAGAACUGGUUAUCCGGAAUUUGUCCCGAGAGAAAUCAAUAAGAAAAAAUAUUUUUCCGGAUGAAUGGAAAGGGAAUAUUUGCUUGCUCUUAUACUUGUAUUACACACACCAUUUUAUUU
This 511-nucleotide long non-coding RNA is filed under the name Citrus sinensis (sweet orange). RNAcentral describes it as "long non-coding RNA (CSIN_LNC005630)". The record is from RNAcentral. Lineage: Eukaryota; Viridiplantae; Streptophyta; Magnoliopsida; Sapindales; Rutaceae.